CGAACUCUGGUAUUGAUUGGUGCUUGCAUCAUGAUUUACAUUUGAGUGAGUGGCGAACUGGUGAGUAACACGUGGGAAACCUGCCCAGAAGCGGGGGAUAACACCUGGAAACAGAUGCUAAUACCGCAUAACAACUUGGACCGCAUGGUCCGAGUUUGAAAGAUGGCUUCGGCUAUCACUUUUGGAUGGUCCCGCGGCGUAUUAGCUAGAUGGUGGGGUAACGGCUCACCAUGGCAAUGAUACGUAGCCGACCUGAGAGGGUAAUCGGCCACAUUGGGACUGAGACACGGCCCAAACUCCUACGGGAGGCAGCAGUAGGGAAUCUUCCACAAUGGACGAAAGUCUGAUGGAGCAACGCCGCGUGAGUGAAGAAGGGUUUCGGCUCGUAAAACUCUGUUGUUAAAGAAGAACAUAUCUGAGAGUAACUGUUCAGGUAUUGACGGUAUUUAACCAGAAAGCCACGGCUAACUACGUGCCAGCAGCCGCGGUAAUACGUAGGUGGCAAGCGUUGUCCGGAUUUAUUGGGCGUAAAGCGAGCGCAGGCGGUUUUUUAAGUCUGAUGUGAAAGCCUUCGGCUCAACCGAAGAAGUGCAUCGGAAACUGGGAAACUUGAGUGCAGAAGAGGACAGUGGAACUCCAUGUGUAGCGGUGAAAUGCGUAGAUAUAUGGAAGAACACCAGUGGCGAAGGCGGCUGUCUGGUCUGUAACUGACGCUGAGGCUCGAAAGUAUGGGUAGCAAACAGGAUUAGAUACCCUGGUAGUCCAUACCGUAAACGAUGAAUGCUAAGUGUUGGAGGGUUUCCGCCCUUCAGUGCUGCAGCUAACGCAUUAAGCAUUCCGCCUGGGGAGUACGGCCGCAAGGCUGAAACUCAAAGGAAUUGACGGGGGCCCGCACAAGCGGUGGAGCAUGUGGUUUAAUUCGAAGCUACGCGAAGAACCUUACCAGGUCUUGACAUACUAUGCAAAUCUAAGAGAUUAGACGUUCCCUUCGGGGACAUGGAUACAGGUGGUGCAUGGUUGUCGUCAGCUCGUGUCGUGAGAUGUUGGGUUAAGUCCCGCAACGAGCGCAACCCUUAUUAUCAGUUGCCAGCAUUAAGUUGGGCACUCUGGUGAGACUGCCGGUGACAAACCGGAGGAAGGUGGGGAUGACGUCAAAUCAUCAUGCCCCUUAUGACCUGGGCUACACACGUGCUACAAUGGAUGGUACAACGAGUUGCGAACUCGCGAGAGUAAGCUAAUCUCUUAAAGCCAUUCUCAGUUCGGAUUGUAGGCUGCAACUCGCCUACAUGAAGUCGGAAUCGCUAGUAAUCGCGGAUCAGCAUGCCGCGGUGAAUACGUUCCCGGGCCUUGUACACACCGCCCGUCACACCAUGAGAGUUUGUAACACCCAAAGUC
RNAcentral lists this ribosomal RNA (1395 nucleotides) under Lactiplantibacillus plantarum. RNAcentral's name for it is "bacterial SSU rRNA". It matches the Rfam family "Bacterial small subunit ribosomal RNA", at positions 63 to 1428 of the family's 1533-position model. Lineage: Bacteria; Bacillati; Bacillota; Bacilli; Lactobacillales; Lactobacillaceae. The record is from RNAcentral.